Molecule: unclassified non-coding RNA, 334 nt
Filed under: plant metagenome
Description: partial contains 5.8S ribosomal RNA, internal transcribed spacer 2, and large subunit ribosomal RNA
Rfam family: 5.8S ribosomal RNA (bases 1-105)
Source: RNAcentral
GAAAUGCGAUAACUAGUGUGAAUUGCAGAAUUCCGUGAAUCAUCGAGUCUUUGAACGCACAUUGCGCCCCCUGGUAUUCCGGGGGGCAUGCCUGUCCGAGCGUCAUUGCUGCCCAUCAAGCACGGCUUGUGUGUUGGGUCGUCGUCCCCUCUCCGGGGGGGACGGGCCCCAAAGGCAGCGGCGGCACCGCGUCCGAUCCUCGAGCGUAUGGGGCUUUGUCACCCGCUCUGUAGGCCCGGCCGGCGCUUGCCGAACGCAAAUCAAUCUUUUUGAGUGGCAUCUUAGACCAAAAAACCGUCCUCGACUCAGGCGGGACUACCCGCUGAACUUAAGC